GAUGAACGCUAGCUACAGGCUUAACACAUGCAAGUCGAGGGGCAGCGGUAUCGAAAGCUUGCUUUCGGUAGCCGGCGACCGGCGCACGGGUGAGUAACGCGUAUCGAACCUGCCUCAUACUCGGGAAUAGCCUUGCGAAAGUAAGAUUAAUGCCCGGUGUUUUCAGAGUCCCGCAUGAGGCUUUGAACAAAGAUUUAUCGGUAUGAGAUGGCGAUGCGUCCCAUUAGCUUGUUGGCGGGGUAACGGCCCACCAAGGCAUCGAUGGGUAGGGGUUCUGAGAGGAAGGUCCCCCGCAUUGGAACUGGGACACGGUCCAAACUCCUACGGGAGGCAGCAGUGAGGAAUAUUGGUCAAUGGGCGGAAGCCUGAACCAGCCAAGUAGCGUGCAGGAAGACGGCCCUCCGGGUUGUAAACUGCUUUUAGUUGGGAAUAAAACGGGGCUCGUGAGCCCCCUUGCAUGUACCAUCAGAAAAAGGACCGGCUAAUUCCGUGCCAGCCGCCGCAGUAA
RNAcentral lists this ribosomal RNA (508 nucleotides) under uncultured bacterium. Its description in RNAcentral is "partial 16S ribosomal RNA". It matches the Rfam family "Bacterial small subunit ribosomal RNA", at positions 28 to 523 of the family's 1533-position model. The record is from RNAcentral.